UGCCAGACUCCUACGGGAGGCAGCAGUGGGGAAUAUUGUACAAUGGGGGAAACCCUGAUGCAGCGACGCCGCGUGAGUGAAGAAGUAUUUCGGUAUGUAAAGCUCUAUCAGCAGGGAAGAUAAUGACGGUACCUGAGUAAGAAGCCCCGGCUAACUACGUGCCAGCAGCCGCGGUAAUACGUAGGGGGCAAGCGUUAUCCGGAUUUACUGGGUGUAAAGGGAGCGUAGACGGCAUGGCAAGUCUGAAGUGAAAGCCCGGGGCUCAACCGCGGGACUGCUUUGGAAACUGUUAAGCUGGAGUGCAGGAGAGGUAAGUGGAAUUCCUAGUGUAGCGGUGAAAUGCGUAGAUAUUAGGAGGAACACCAGUGGCGAAGGCGGCUUACUGGACUGUAACUGACACUGAGGCACGAAAGCGUGGGGAGCAAACAGGAUUAGAUACCCGAGUA
This 446-nucleotide ribosomal RNA is filed under the name uncultured bacterium. Its description in RNAcentral is "bacterial SSU rRNA". It matches the Rfam family "Bacterial small subunit ribosomal RNA", at positions 329 to 792 of the family's 1533-position model. The record is from RNAcentral.